UCAUUGAGGUGAUGGCUGAGCAUAUGACGCCCUGCUGCUGCAUACUAGUGCAUUAAGUUCGUAGGUCAAAGUUAAUAUCUUCUCAACCGUACUGUCAUGGUUAAGUCCAAUCUACGUCUCAUGGUAUUAAUCAGAUCCACUAACUUAAUCGGCUUGUAGGUGGUAGUGAAAGGAUCUACGAUGUCGACUAGAGGAGGGUGAAUAGUCGAACCUGAAAAUUUUCAUAACUUUAAACAAGUUUAUCAGUGACUUCUAGAGUUUCCGGAAAUUCCGCAACUUACGGAAUUUUCGGAGAAAUCUUUGGAUAAUCCGGAGAAACAAGAAUUUGAAUUACGACCUUUUGAAAGACUUGCUCAAAUGUAAAUCGUCGAAUAUAGAUUAAGUAACAGGAUAUUCUAGGCCUUUGGCACAAUAGAUACUCUUCAAUCUCGCCCUUUUUGGUGAUUGAUGACAAUAUGCUUAACUCUUACAAAUGAGAGUAUAAUGUAUCAAAAACAUAAAGGAUAAAGCAAGAGCAUGUGCAACUCCCCC
This 531-nucleotide long non-coding RNA is filed under the name Setaria viridis. RNAcentral describes it as "long non-coding RNA (SVIR_LNC004891)". Lineage: Eukaryota; Viridiplantae; Streptophyta; Magnoliopsida; Poales; Poaceae. The record is from RNAcentral.